RNAcentral lists this ribosomal RNA (200 nucleotides) under uncultured bacterium. Its description in RNAcentral is "partial 16S ribosomal RNA". It matches the Rfam family "Bacterial small subunit ribosomal RNA", at positions 8 to 227 of the family's 1533-position model. The record is from RNAcentral.
AGAGUUUGAUCAUGGCUCAGGACGAACGCUGGCGGCGUGCCUAACACAUGCAAGUCGAACGCUCUUGCGCAAGCAAGAGAGUGGCGGACGGGUGAGGAACACGUGGGUUAUCUACCCGAAGGUGAGGAAUACCGGCGAGAAAUCGCCGACAAUACCGCAUGCGCUUCGCAAGAAGUAAAGUCGCAAGACGCCUUUGGAUG